GUCUGCAGUUAUACCUUCCCCAACAUGCCUGAUCUCAUCUAAUCGCAGAAGCAAAGCAGGUCAGAUCUGGUUCGAACUUGGAAAGUAGAAAAGAGAGGGAUAUUUAGGAAUCUUGUGAUU
Molecule: ribosomal RNA, 120 nt
Filed under: Nannospalax galili (Upper Galilee mountains blind mole rat)
Lineage: Eukaryota; Metazoa; Chordata; Mammalia; Rodentia; Spalacidae
Source: RNAcentral